Callithrix jacchus (white-tufted-ear marmoset) is the source of this 300-nucleotide unclassified non-coding RNA. It matches the Rfam family "Metazoan signal recognition particle RNA". From Rfam's summary of the family: The signal recognition particle (SRP) is a universally conserved ribonucleoprotein. It is involved in the co-translational targeting of proteins to membranes. The eukaryotic SRP consists of a 300-nucleotide 7S RNA and six proteins: SRPs 72, 68, 54, 19, 14, and 9. Lineage: Eukaryota; Metazoa; Chordata; Mammalia; Primates; Cebidae. The record is from Ensembl.
GCUGGGCAUGGUGGCGCGUGCCUGUGGUCCCAGCUACUCGGGAGGCUGAGGUGGGAGGAUCGCUUGAGCCCAGGAUUUCUGGGCUGUAGUGCACUAUGCCGAUCAGGUGUCCGCACCAAGUUCGGCAUCAAUAUGGUGACCUCCCAGGAGCAGGGGAACACCAGGUUGCCUCAAGAGGGGUGAACCAACCCCGGCUGGAAACGGAGCAGGUCAAAAUUCCCAUGCUCAUCAGUAGUGGCAUUGCGCCUGUGAACAGCCACUGCACUCCAGCCUGGGCAACAUGGUGAAACCUUGUCUUUA